Molecule: ribosomal RNA, 611 nt
Filed under: uncultured Actinomycetes bacterium
Lineage: Bacteria; Bacillati; Actinomycetota; Actinomycetes
Description: bacterial SSU rRNA
Rfam family: Bacterial small subunit ribosomal RNA
Source: RNAcentral
CAGCUUGUUGGUGGGGUGAUGGCCUACCAAGGCGACGACGGGUAGCCGGCCUGAGAGGGUGUCCGGCCACACUGGGACUGAGAUACGGCCCAGACUCCUACGGGAGGCAGCAGUGGGGAAUAUUGCACAAUGGGCGCAAGCCUGAUGCAGCGACGCCGCGUGGGGGAUGACGGCCUUCGGGUUGUAAACCUCUUUCAGUAGGGACGAAGCGCAAGUGACGGUACCUACAGAAGAAGCACCGGCCAACUACGUGCCAGCGGCCGCGGUAAUACGUAGGGUGCGAGCGUUGUCCGGAAUUACUGGGCGUAAAGAGCUCGUAGGUGGUUUGUCGCGUUGUUCGUGAAAACUCACAGCUUAACUGUGGGCGUGCGGGCGAUACGGGCAGACUGGAGUACUGCAGGGGAGACUGGAAUUCCUGGUGUAGCGGUGGAAUGCGCAGAUAUCAGGAGGAACACCGGUGGCGAAGGCGGGUCUCUGGGCAGUAACUGACGCUGAGGAGCGAAAGCGUGGGGAGCGAACAGGAUUAGAUACCCUGGUAGUCCACGCCGUAAACGGUGGGUACUAGGUGUGGGUUUCCUUCCUUGGGAUCCGUGCCGUAGCUAACGCAUUAA